GCGGGAUUAGCUCAGUUGGUAGAGCGAUACCAUGCCAAUGUAAAGGUCGAGAGUUCGAGUCUCUUAUCCCGCUCCA
This 76-nucleotide transfer RNA is filed under the name Hydrogenophaga sp. RNAcentral describes it as "tRNA-Gly". It matches the Rfam family "tRNA". Rfam says of the family: Transfer RNA (tRNA) molecules are approximately 80 nucleotides in length. Their secondary structure includes four short double-helical elements and three loops (D, anti-codon, and T loops). The record is from RNAcentral. Lineage: Bacteria; Pseudomonadati; Pseudomonadota; Betaproteobacteria; Burkholderiales; Comamonadaceae.